RNAcentral lists this ribosomal RNA (473 nucleotides) under uncultured bacterium. Its description in RNAcentral is "SSU rRNA". It matches the Rfam family "Bacterial small subunit ribosomal RNA", at positions 26 to 518 of the family's 1533-position model. The record is from RNAcentral.
AGGACGAACGCUGGCGGCGUGCUUAACACAUGCAAGUCGAGCGGAAAGGCCCUUCGGGGUACUCGAGCGGCGAACGGGUGAGUAACACGUGAGUAACCUGCCCCAGACUUUGGGAUAACCCUCGGAAACGGGGGCUAAUACCGAAUAUGACUUUGACCCGCAUGGGUUUUUGUGGAAAGUUUUUCGGUUUGGGAUGGACUCGCGGCCUAUCAGCUUGUUGGUGAGGUAAUGGCUCACCAAGGCGAGGACGGGUAGCCGGCCUGAGAGGGCGACCGGCCACACUGGGACUGAGACACGGCCCAGACUCCUACGGGAGGCAGCAGUGGGGAAUAUGCACAAUGGGCGGAAGCCUGAUGCAGCGACGCCGCGUGAGGGAUGACGGCCUUCGGGUUGUAAACCUCUUUCAGCAGGGACGAAGCGCAAGUGACGGUACCUGCAGAAGAAGCGCCGGCCAACUACGUGCCAGCAGCCGC